CGGCGAGUGAAGCGGCAACAGCUCAAAUUUGAAAUCUGGCCUCUUGGGGGUCCGAGUUGUAAUUUGUAGAGGAUGUUUCGGGUACCGCCUCGGUUUAAAUUUCUUGGAACAGAAUGUCAGAGAGGGUGAGAAUCCCGUCUUGGACCGGCGGUAGGGCCCAUGUGAAACUCCUUCGACGAGUCGAGUUGUUUGGGAAUGCAGCUCAAAAUGGGUGGUAAAUUUCAUCUAAAGCUAAAUAUUGGCCAGAGACCGAUAGCGCACAAGUAGAGUGAUCGAAAGAUGAAAAGAACUUUGAAAAGAGAGUUAAACAGUAUGUGAAAUUGUUGAAAGGGAAGCGCUUGCAACCAGACUUGAGCGCGGCGGUUCCCCCUUCCUUUUGGUUGGGUUACUCCGCCGUGUCCAGGCCAACAUCGGUUCUGGGGGUCGGUUAAAGGCCCGGGGAAUGUAUCUACUCCUCCGGGGGUAGACUUAUAGCCCCGGGUGUCAUGCGACCACCCGGGACCGAGGAACGCGCUUCGGCUCGGAUGUUGGCGUAAUGGUUGUCAGCGACCCGUCUUGAAACACGGACCAAGGAGUCUAACAUCUAUG
This 588-nucleotide ribosomal RNA is filed under the name Rhinocladiella atrovirens. Its description in RNAcentral is "partial large subunit ribosomal RNA". It matches the Rfam family "Eukaryotic large subunit ribosomal RNA", at positions 87 to 686 of the family's 3401-position model. The record is from RNAcentral. Lineage: Eukaryota; Fungi; Ascomycota; Eurotiomycetes; Chaetothyriales; Herpotrichiellaceae.